RNAcentral lists this ribosomal RNA (433 nucleotides) under uncultured bacterium. RNAcentral's name for it is "partial 16S ribosomal RNA". It matches the Rfam family "Bacterial small subunit ribosomal RNA", at positions 29 to 507 of the family's 1533-position model. The record is from RNAcentral.
AACGAACGCUGGCGGCAUGCCUAACACAUGCAAGUCGAACGAGACCUUCGGGUCUAGUGGCGCACGGGUGCGUAACGCGUGGGAACCUGCCCUUAGGUUCGGAAUAACUCCCCGAAAGGGGUGCUAAUACCGGAUAAUGUCUUCGGACCAAAGAUUUAUCGCCUUUGGAUGGGCCCGCGUUGGAUUAGCUAGUUGGUAGGGUAAAAGCCUACCAAGGCGACGAUCCAUAGCUGGUCUGAGAGGAUGAUCAGCCACACUGGGACUGAGACACGGCCCAGACUCCUACGGGAGGCAGCAGUGGGGACUAGUGGACAAUGGGCGAAAGCCUGAUCCAGCCAUGCCGCGUGAGUGAUGAAGGCAUUAGGGUUGUAAAGCUCUUUUACCAGGGAUGAUAAUGACAGUACCGGGAGAAUAAGCAACGGCUAACUACGUG